This is a long non-coding RNA of Oncorhynchus keta (chum salmon), 1238 nucleotides long. RefSeq lists it as uncharacterized. The record is from RefSeq and is a predicted model, not a curated record. NCBI's taxonomy places the organism in Eukaryota, Metazoa, Chordata, Actinopteri, Salmoniformes, Salmonidae. The transcript is spliced from 6 exons.
GAGGAACAGAAGAAACCAAGUUGAAAAAAACAUCAAUAUUAUAAUUACAUUAUUCAAUUGUAAUGUUUGUCUCAUUUACUUAUAAUCUAUGUAAUUGUUAUUUACUGCUGCUCUUUGAUGAUUUGUUAUUCACGGUAAGGUCUACUACACCUGUUGUAUUCAGCAUUUCACUGUGAGGUCUACUACACCUGUUGUAUUCAGCAUUUCACUGUGAGGUCUACUACACCUGUUGUAUUCAGCAUUUCACUGUGAGGUCUACUACACCUGUUGUAUUCAGCAUUUCACUGUAAGGUCUACUACACCUGUUGUAUUCAGCAUUUCACUGUAAGGUCUACUACACCUGUUGUAUUCAGCAUUUCACUGUAAGGUCUACUACACCUGUUGUAUUCAGCAUUUCACUGUAAGGUCUGCUACACCUGUUGUAUUCAGCAUUUCACUGUGAGGUCUACUACACCUGUUGUAUUCAGCAUUUCACUGUGAGGUCUACUACACCUGUUGUAUUCAGCAUUUCCCUGUAAGGUCUACUACACCUGUUGUAUUCAGCAUUUCACUGUAAGGUCUAUUACACCUGUUGUAUUCAGCAUUUCACGGUAAGGUCUACCUCACCUGUUGUAUUCAGCAUUUCACUGUGAGGUCUACCUCACCUGUUGUAUUCAGCAUUUCACUGUGAGGUCUACCUCACCUGUUGUAUUCAGCAUUUCACUGUGAGGUCUACUACACCUGUUGUAUUCAGUAUUUCACUGUGAGGUCUACCUCACCUGUUGUAUUCAGCAUUUCACUGUGAGGUCUACUACACCUGUUGUAUUCAGCAUUUCACUGUAAGGUCUACUACACCUGUUGUAUUCAGUAUUUCACUGUGAGGUCUACCUCACCUGUUGUAUUCAGCAUUUCACUGUGAGGUCUACCUCACCUGUUGUAUUCAGCAUUUCACUGUGAGGUCUACUACACCUGUUGUAUUCAGCAUUUCACUGUAAGGUCUACCUCACCUGUUGUAUUCAGCAUUUCACUGUGAGGUCUACUACACCUGUUGUAUUCAGUAUUUCACUGUGAGGUCUACUACACCUGUUGUAUUCAGUAUUUCACUGUGAGGUCUACUACACCUGUUGUAUUCAGCAUUUCACUGUGAGGUCUACUACACCUGUUGUAUUCAGUAUUUCACUGUGAGGUCUACUACACCUGUUGUAUUCAGCAUUUCACUGUAAGGUCUACCUACACCUGUUGUAUUCAGCAUUUCACUG